RNAcentral lists this ribosomal RNA (253 nucleotides) under uncultured bacterium. RNAcentral's name for it is "partial 16S ribosomal RNA". It matches the Rfam family "Bacterial small subunit ribosomal RNA", at positions 524 to 776 of the family's 1533-position model. The record is from RNAcentral.
UACGUAGGUGGCAAGCGUUAUCCGGAAUUAUUGGGCGUAAAGCGCGCGCAGGUGGUUAAUUAAGUCUGAUGUGAAAGCCCACGGCUUAACCGUGGAGGGUCAUUGGAAACUGGUUGACUUGAGUGCAGAAGAGGGAAGUGGAAUUCCAUGUGUAGCGGUGAAAUGCGUAGAGAUAUGGAGGAACACCAGUGGCGAAGGCGGCUUCCUGGUCUGCAACUGACACUGAGGCGCGAAAGCGUGGGGAGCAAACAGG